UGGGGAAUAUUGGACAAUGGGGGCAACCCUGAUCCAGCGACGCCGCGUGUGUGAAGAAGGCCUGCGGGUUGUAAAGCACUUUUAGUGGGGAUGAAAAGCACAUUGCUAAUACCAGUGUGUCUUGACCUAACCCAAAGAAAAAGCACCGGCUAACUCUGUGCCAGCAGCCGCGGUAAUACAGAGGGUGCGAGCGUUAAUCGGAAUUACUGGGCGUAAAGCGUGCGUAGACGGUUAUUUAAGUCGGAUGUGAAAGCCCCGGGCUCAACCUGGGAAUUGCAUUCGAGACUGAAUAGCUAGGGUGCGGUAGAGGGAAGCGGAAUUUCCGGUGUAGCGGUGAAUGCGUAGAUAUCGGAAGGAACAUCAGUGGCGAAAGCGGCUUCCUGGACCAGCACCGACGUUCAGGCACGAAAGCGUGGGGAGCAAACAGGAUUAGAUACCCUGGUAGUCCACGCCAUAAACGAUGAGGACUAGACGUUGGAGGGGUAAGCCUUUCAGUGUCGUAGCUAACG
RNAcentral lists this ribosomal RNA (509 nucleotides) under uncultured Pseudomonadota bacterium. RNAcentral describes it as "bacterial SSU rRNA". It matches the Rfam family "Bacterial small subunit ribosomal RNA", at positions 355 to 857 of the family's 1533-position model. The record is from RNAcentral. Lineage: Bacteria; Pseudomonadati; Pseudomonadota.